This 646-nucleotide long non-coding RNA is filed under the name Manihot esculenta (cassava). RNAcentral's name for it is "long non-coding RNA (MESC_LNC006392)". Lineage: Eukaryota; Viridiplantae; Streptophyta; Magnoliopsida; Malpighiales; Euphorbiaceae. The record is from RNAcentral.
UGUGACCAUAUACAUGAGUAUAUGUGAGUGGAAUAGAGGAGGUAGGCAUGUUUGGAGAGAUUGAAGGGAAGGAGGAGAUGGUUUGCCGUGGAAGCUGAGUUCUGGAUGAACUCAGGUUCGGCAGCCGAAGGAUCAUUCGGCCGCCGAACCUCCUGCAUGGUGACUUGGUUGCCACAGCUUGCCCCCGAGUGUUUUUGCAUGUUCGGCUCUGUUUGGGGGAUUCGGCCGCCGAAGGUGCCGCCGAAGGUGCUUGAGUUUCAUCUCUGGAGAGGACAUUCGGCCGCCGAACCUGCCGCCGAAAGUGUUCUGUCCAGCUUUUCUUUUGCAUGCUUUGCAUGGCUAGUUAAGUGAGUUUCAGGGGAUUCUUGGGGAGUUUAAUAGAGGUAUUGAUAAGUUAGUUUGGUCCCUCAUUUGAGUCUAUCUGUAUAGGUACAGACCAGAGGAACCAGAGAGAGCAGCAGUGAGUACUGCUCCAGAGUUUCAGAGCCUGCAGAGUCAGUCAGUCCAGAUAGCCGGAGGUGAGUGGAACUAAACUUAUGACUUUUAAUUGAACCACAAACUGCUUUUAGCAUAUCUCAUGCAUCAUGUUUAUGCCAUAGGGUGAUUGCAUUAGUAUCCACGAAUAUGUUGCAUUGCAUUGUUAUUU